RNAcentral lists this ribosomal RNA (253 nucleotides) under uncultured bacterium. Its description in RNAcentral is "partial 16S ribosomal RNA". It matches the Rfam family "Bacterial small subunit ribosomal RNA", at positions 524 to 776 of the family's 1533-position model. The record is from RNAcentral.
UACGUAGGGGGCAAGCGUUGUCCGGAUUUAUUGGGCGUAAAGAGCGUGUAGGCGGCCAAGCAGGUCCGCUGUGAAAACUCGAGGCUCAACCUCGAGACGUCGGUGGAAACCGUUUGGCUAGAGUCCGGAAGAGGAGAGUGGAAUUCCCGGUGUAGCGGUGAAAUGCGCAGAUAUCAGGAGGAACACCAAUGGCGAAGGCAGCACUCUGGGACGUGACUGACGCUGAGACGCGAAAGCGUGGGGAGCGAACAGG